RNAcentral lists this ribosomal RNA (507 nucleotides) under uncultured bacterium. RNAcentral's name for it is "partial 16S ribosomal RNA". It matches the Rfam family "Bacterial small subunit ribosomal RNA", at positions 28 to 507 of the family's 1533-position model. The record is from RNAcentral.
GACGAACGCUGGCGGCGUGCCUAAUACAUGCAAGUCGAACGCAUUUUCUUUCACCGUAGCUUGCUACACCGAAGGAAGAUGAGUGGCGAACGGGUGAGUAACACGUGGGUAACCUGCCCAUCAGCGGGGGAUAACACUUGGAAACAGGUGCUAAUACCGCAUAAUUCCAUUUACUGCAUGGUAGAUGGAUGAAAGGCGCUUUUGCGUCACUGAUGGAUGGACCCGCGGUGCAUUAGCUAGUUGGUGGGGUAACGGCCUACCAAGGCUGCGAUGCAUAGCCGACCUGAGAGGGUGAUCGGCCACACUGGGACUGAGACACGGCCCAGACUCCUACGGGAGGCAGCAGUAGGGAAUCUUCGGCAAUGGACGCAAGUCUGACCGAGCAACGCCGCGUGAGUGAAGAAGGUUUUCGGAUCGUAAAACUCUGUUGUUAGAAAAGAACAAGGAUGAGAGUGGAAAGUUCAUCCCUUGACGGUAUCUAACCAGAAAGCCACGGCUAACUACGUG